GUUCGUGCUUCAAUUGUUACUUGGGCUGGCAUCCAUACUGGUCGUGGAUUGUUAAAUCCUUUAGCUGUCAGUGACCAUAGCUGCAACAAUGAAACGACAAGUGUAAAACAAAAGUGCAUAUACAUUUGUUUUCACAAAUGAAUACCCGUUUUAACCACGUUUGUACCAGUUGUUCCUCCUCGUCCUCGUUCUCCUCAUCAGCAUUUUCGCUAAGCAUCUUGAUUACUCGCAAAGCAGUGGAUUCUUCCACACCGAACGCAGCAAACCAGAAAAUGUCAAAGAAGACGAAAUCGCCGGUUGCACCAAAAGUUCUAUCCAAUAAUUGAGCCGGUCGAUGAGUUUGAAACGCACGCUGCCACAUCACGGCCCGAUCGUUAUCGGAUACAGUUAUAUUCUCCCAUCCGCACAAAUCCUUCUCAAAGCUGCAAUCUUCCGCGCGAACGGCUGCACUCAAUGGUUUUACUGCAUAGAAAAAAAAAUAGACACGAAAAAGAAGAUAAAAAUAUUUACCGCUGCAAUUGCCCGUAUAAAAGGAGAUAUCAUCAAUUCCUAUACUACCACUUGCUCUAUUCGGACCCCAUGUUCCUUCGAACACGAUGUUGAAGUUCGUAUUUUCAUUGAUGUUAGCCUGAGCAUAGCUCCACGUGGGACCUUGAUUGUUGUACAGCUGCCAUAUCGGUUUGGCUUCUGUCGAAAUAUCGCCCACUGUUUGUAGAUACAAUCGCAAGACACCUAUAAAGUUACGAUUAUAUUAUUUUUUUUGUUUUCGCGGAAGAAAAAUCACAUACCUAUAAAAGCUAGGACCUGUGGAAUCGAUGAAUGGCUCAAACAUAAAAUACCAGAACGUAAUGCAGAGCGGUUCCUCGGUACCCUUCAUCUCUCGACUGACCAAUUGAGCGGUACCACCCCCAGACGAUCGCGAAGCACCCCGAAGACGUCCCAG
Long non-coding RNA from Cataglyphis hispanica, 943 nucleotides. RefSeq lists it as uncharacterized. The record is from RefSeq and is a predicted model, not a curated record. NCBI's taxonomy places the organism in Eukaryota, Metazoa, Arthropoda, Insecta, Hymenoptera, Formicidae. The transcript has 5 exons.